Molecule: ribosomal RNA, 491 nt
Filed under: uncultured bacterium
Lineage: Bacteria
Description: partial 16S ribosomal RNA
Rfam family: Bacterial small subunit ribosomal RNA
Source: RNAcentral
GUGAACGCUGGCGGUAGGCCUAACACAUGCAAGUCGCACGGCAGCACAGUAAGAGCUUGCUCUUACGGGUGGCGAGUGGCGGACGGGUGAGGAAUACAUCGGAAUCUACUUUUUCGUGGGGGAUAACGUAGGGAAACUUACGCUAAUACCGCAUACGACCUACGGGUGAAAGCAGGGGAUCUUCGGACCUUGCGCGAUUGAAUGAGCCGAUGUCGGAUUAGCUGGUUGGCGGGGUAAAGGCCCACCAAGGCGACGAUCCGUAGCUGGUCUGAGAGGAUGAUCAGCCACACUGGAACUGAGACACGGUCCAGACUCCUACGGGAGGCAGCAGUGGGGAAUAUUGGACAAUGGGCGCAAGCCUGAUCCAGCCAUACCGCGUGGGUGAAGAAGGCCUUCGGGUUGUAAAGCCCUUUUGUUGGGAAAGAAAAGCAGCAGGUUAAUACCCCGCUGCUCUGACGGUACCCAAAGAAUAAGCACCGGCUAACUUCGUG